UACAGAGGUCCCGAGCGUUGUUCGGAUUCAUUGGGCGUAAAGGGUGCGUAGGCGGCGGGGUAAGCCUGAUGUGAAAUCCCGGGGCUCAACCCUGGAACUGCAUUGGAUACUGCCUUGCUUGAGAACUGGAGAGGAGACUGGAAUUUACGGUGUAGCAGUGAAAUGCGUAGAGAUCGUAAGGAAGACCAGUGGCGAAGGCGAGUCUCUGGACAGUAUCUGACGCUGAGGCACGAAGGCCAGGGGAGCAAACGGG
Molecule: ribosomal RNA, 253 nt
Filed under: uncultured bacterium
Lineage: Bacteria
Description: partial 16S ribosomal RNA
Rfam family: Bacterial small subunit ribosomal RNA
Source: RNAcentral